Molecule: ribosomal RNA, 117 nt
Filed under: Danio rerio (zebrafish)
Lineage: Eukaryota; Metazoa; Chordata; Actinopteri; Cypriniformes; Danionidae
Source: RNAcentral
AGCCACAGCCGUAUCACCCUGCAGCCCAAGACUGGUUACUCACUGAAGCUAAGCAGGGCUAAGCCUGGUUAGUACCUGAAUGGGGGACCACAUGGGAAAAUUAGGUUGCUGUUGGAA